This 1234-nucleotide long non-coding RNA is filed under the name Lynx canadensis (Canada lynx). RNAcentral's name for it is "lncRNA (ENSLCNG00005013881.1)". The record is from RNAcentral. Lineage: Eukaryota; Metazoa; Chordata; Mammalia; Carnivora; Felidae.
CGACGGCGGGCAGAACCGGGCCCGUGGUACGACCGCGAAAGCGGCCCGGAGCGACAACAGCGAGGGGCGGCGCGUAAGGUUCCGCUCGACCUUCUCCCCACCCCCGGAUUAAAGACGACGAUCUUCUGGACAGUUUCGGUGUCCAGAUGAGACUGUGUCCUUCCAGUGAAUGCGCGUUUCCCCUUCUCUGCCUGCAGCAAUCCCCACUCUGCUUACUUUCGUAAAAUCUGAGAGCAGAACGCAAACAUUUGCAUGAUUUAGUCCUCUCCAGGUGUUACGUGGAUGGUGGCCCCGGGAAGAAACCGAGCCCCCGAAAUUCCUUAAAGUCGCCCAGAUGUGGCCCACCUCGCGUUACAGAAGACGAGGGCGUUAAAGCACAUGCUCUAUGAUGGUCGAAUAUCCUCAGAAGACUGUCCCAGCGGCACCGGUCCUCUCCCGUCCGAGAUGCAGGCCCUGAAUCUGCCUGCUGCCCUGCUGGUCCUCGGCUGUCCCCUACGGACUCUCAAGGUCUCUGGGGGCCGCCUGGCCCCAUCCCACACACGCCAGUAAAGGCGGGGAAAAGGGGAUACAACCGGCCCCUCCUUUGCGUCCUAACCCCAAAGCUCUGGGAUGUUCACCCGCCACCAGAAAGAGGCAGGCAGCUGAGGGCAGGGAAUGGGAUUAUCCAGGGAAUUCGUCAUAAAUCUUCCACCCGCCCCCACAAGGGGCCUCAGGCAUCUUCUCAAGUCCAGCUCCAGGACACUCGUCCUAUCUGUAAACGUGUGAAAAAUCCUCCAGGGGUGUCCGUUUCGUUCCUCUGGGCUCUCAACAGCUUAGACCGUGUGAGCGCAAACCCGCUGGGACCCAGGGAGAUGAAUGUUCUGGACAGUUUUUAUGCCAUCGCAGGCAUUAAGUGCCUGCUCCUCUGGACCCUGUCUGAUUUCUACCUGAUUGUGACGGUCAACCAGAUACAUGGCUCCGAAAAGCUUCUCAGCUUUUCCUGAAACAGAACGACAGAGUUAACCAGCUGGAGACCCGUGGACCCCUGCCUGACGGGCACCUGUUCAUCUGCCUCCACAGUCAACAUUCCAGGCCUCAGAGGGCUCUUCCUGUUGUUUUCCAAAAGGGCGGCCGUGACAGGUCCUGGCCCGGCUGUUUCUUGGUGGAGAGACUCAAGCGGAGAAAAUACGACGCCACACGAGCCCGCAGCCGGCCCUCCUGCCACCAAAUUCCCGCUGCUACGAGAACCCCCACC